This 483-nucleotide ribosomal RNA is filed under the name uncultured bacterium. RNAcentral describes it as "partial 16S ribosomal RNA". It matches the Rfam family "Bacterial small subunit ribosomal RNA", at positions 30 to 506 of the family's 1533-position model. The record is from RNAcentral.
AUUGAACGCUGGCGGCAGGCCUAACACAUGCAAGUCGAGCGGAUGAAGGGAGCUUGCUCCUGGAUUCAGCGGCGGACGGGUGAGUAAUGCCUAGGAAUCUGCCUGGUAGUGGGGGAUAACGUCCGGAAACGGGCGCUAAUACCGCAUACGUCCUGAGGGAGAAAGUGGGGGAUCUUCGGACCUCACGCUAUCAGAUGAGCCUAGGUCGGAUUAGCUAGUUGGUGGGGUAAAGGCCUACCAAGGCGACGAUCCGUAACUGGUCUGAGAGGAUGAUCAGUCACACUGGAACUGAGACACGGUCCAGACUCCUACGGGAGGCAGCAGCGGGGAAUAUUGGACAAUGGGCGAAAGCCUGAUCCAGCCAUGCCGCGUGUGUGAAGAAGGUCUUCGGAUUGUAAAGCACUUUAAGUUGGGAGGAAGGGCAGUAAGUUAAUACCUUGCUGUUUUGACGUUACCAACAGAAUAAGCACCGGCUAACUUCGU